GCAGCUCUUCUGUUCCUUUGAGAAAUGAAGUCCUUGGCUGAGGAAAAGCUCUCACUGCAAACUCUCAAAACAAACACAGUUAGUGUCACCAAUGCACCAUUACUUGAUUGUUUUACAUUGUCUUAGAUACAUACAUAGCCACUGCACCUCUAAACUGUGUUUCAAAUUAAUGUGUAAUAUUUAAUAUAUGAUCUUUGGAUAACUGUAAUGAAAUAAAGUACCUUUAAGUCUUUGUGUGCUCUUUGCUGAAUACCGGCAUGUUCUUCCAUUCAGGACUCAUUUAUACUUCUCUUUAUCAUACAUCUUUGUCUUGCAGGAAAUGAUCAGGAUAUCAGAUAUAUAAUGUACAUACUUUUGACCUACUGGCCUACAUUGCUCCACUGAAGAGACCACAAAUUCAAAGCCUCACCUGUGGCCUACAUUAGGUAGACCUUGGUCUUGUGUGCCAGUCUCAGUGUUGAAAGAGAUCAGGUAGACCUAGGAAAGGUUUAGACUUUCAACACUAUAGUUUUUAGGACCAGUUGUUGGCUACUCGACCAUGUGUGUGGAGAAAAGAUCAGGUUGAGUCCCAAAUGGAACCCUAUUCCCUAUAUAGUGAAGUACUUUUGACCAGUGCUUAUAGGGCCUCUAGAUGUGUACUACAUGUGCAUCUCCACCAAAAUGUACCAAUAACAUGAAAAAUAUGAUGUAUUUAUUCAUUUAAUAAAACACUUGAACACCAAAAAGCUGCAAAUUCACAAGCAAAAUGUAUUACAGUGGUUCAAUUGAUCAUAUAGAAGAUACACAACUGAAAACACAAUACUGCAUGACAUUUUUCCCUCACAUCAUCUCUCUAUGCCUCCUUCUCAAAACGCAUCAGAGGAGAAGGAACCAGAAGGAGACAAAGAGGAAGGACAUGAAGAAUCAAGAAAAUACAAUAAGAUACACGCAGUGAAGCAACACCCAGGGCCCAGUUUUUCAAACGUUUUCUGGAUUUGGCCUAUCGGAUAGGAUUAAGUGCAUGGAAAUAGAAUGAAUAGAAUGGACAAAUCGUUGACUUGAAUGGGGAUUCCCAUUCCUGUCAGUCUAUUUCUAUGCAUUUAAUCCUAUCCAAUAGGCAAAAUCCAGACAGAUAACGUUUGAAAAACUGAGCCCAGCUGAUUUAGUGGUCACAAUGUCAACGGAGAAAAAUACAUUUACAACCAGCAGAGGGCAACAUCAUCUCAUAUUUUAAAAUGUGCACUUCUCUACUAAAUCUGAAGGCCUAAUGAAUAGUCCGAAGCAAAUGUUUCUGGUAAACCGGAGUCUGACAACUACUUUCCAACCAUUUUAGUCAUUUGAUAGACAUCCACCUUUUCACGUUCAUAAUGGUUUAGAUUAGAAUAAAAAAAGCUGUGUCUGUUUAUUUCAAUACAUUUACAGCUCCCAUAUACGAUAAUAAAAAUGUUUGACUGAUAUCAGACACACAUGUAAUUGCAAAUUAUUUUCAUAAUACAAUUCAUCAACCAUUAUAAGGUGUGUGUUUCUCACUAUCAUGUGUGUUUCUCGCUAUUGUCACUUCUUGAGCACGCAUGCAAAUAAAGUAACUGAUGGAGCCAUUUCUUGGAAGUCAAGGUGUCUGAUAGAUCUUUAUCUGUUCAUUUGGUUUGACUGUUCAUAUGGUUUCAAUGUACUGGUGAAAAUGUGGUUUAAAUUCUCUAUUGACAGGUUUUGUGCAUUUAGAAACAACUGCAAGGUAUCCACGUACAUAACUUGAUCAAUGUACAAUGACAUUAUUGUUUGAAAUCAUUUUUGGAGUCUUUAUACACUUGAUGACAACUUGCAGUUAAAUAUAUAAUACAUGUAAAUAGAAAUAAUAUAACAUAAUAUAAAAUGAUAUAGAACAUAAAAUGUAAUCUAAUGUUCAAUAGCAAAUAAUCACAUGCAUUACAUGUGUAUUUAGUAUCUAGUAUUUCCAAAAUGUAAGCAGAGGUAUUGCAGCAUUCAACCCUGAAGAAGUCAGAUACUAAUAUUGUUGAAGCUCUUGAUAAAACCACAAGGCAGGUUUGACAAACUGGAUGCAAAGCAGAACUGAAAAGUAGGAGUCCAAGUGAAAUAAUGUC
This 2081-nucleotide long non-coding RNA is filed under the name Salmo salar (Atlantic salmon). Its description in RNAcentral is "lncRNA (ENSSSAG00000004339.2)". Lineage: Eukaryota; Metazoa; Chordata; Actinopteri; Salmoniformes; Salmonidae. The record is from RNAcentral.